This 1205-nucleotide long non-coding RNA is filed under the name Homo sapiens (human). Its description in RNAcentral is "HSALNT0363428". Lineage: Eukaryota; Metazoa; Chordata; Mammalia; Primates; Hominidae. The record is from RNAcentral.
ACCACAAUGGGUCCUGCUCUUGGGCCCUUUGAGGGGGGCGGGGAGCUAAUGACAGAGGAAUCUCCCCGAGGGCCCUAAAAAGGGGCUUUUGUAGCGGGCUGGCCGGCUUCUGUGGCAGCUUGGGGCAACAUUUCAAAAAUACAGGUGCGCCACAUUUUAAGCAAAACUAGUCAUUGUUUUGUAGCGCUUUAAACAUUAUUUUAAAGUUUGUCAUUGCAGAGGUGUUAUUUAUUGCUACGGAAACUGAGAACCAAGGGGCAGAAAGAUAACCUGGCAGAACUGGGACAGGCCUAAGAGGCAUUGCUACCCAGGCUACGCUUAGUCAUGUUUUGUUUGCUCGUGAGUAUCCGUGGUCUGAUUCUCUCUCACUCAUUGUGUGUCCAUCACAGUCCUGGUCUGUGGUGAGCACGCCAGAGGAAUACUUGGUGGAGAGGCCCAGCGAGGUCCCUAGUUCUGGGUGGGACAGGGUCUCCUCGUACACACCAAGCUGGAAGUCUAGGCAACUGAGUUUCCCGACUGUCUAGCAUUCAAAAUUCAGCUGUGGUCCAAGGGCACCUCCUGGCGGUAAAAACAAGCUUAGGCGUGCCAGGUGCGGCGGCUCACGCCUAUAAUCCCAGCACUUUGGGAGGCCAAGGCGGGCGGAUCACGAGUUCAGGAGUUCGACACCAGCUUGGCCAACAUGGUGAAACCCCGUGUCUACUAAAAAUACAAAAAAUAGCCCGGCGUGGUGGCGGGCGCCUGUAAUCCCAACUACUCGGGAGGCUGAGGCAGGAGAAUCGUUGGAACCCGGGAGGCGGAGGUUGCAGUGAGCCGAGAUGGCGUCACUGCACUCCAGCCUGGGUGACAGAGCAAGACUCGGUCUCAAAAAAAAAAAAAAAAGAAGUUUAGGCUGAUUCCCCACUGUCACCUUCCAGCAAAGAGUAGCCUUUUAUGGAGAUUGAUGGAUUGGGUUUAUCUCCUAGUAGAGCCCGCCAGGGAGGUUGUCAGCCACCAUUCCUCAUUUUAGUGGCUCCAUAAUGGCUUCUCUGAUACCAUCUGGGACACAUUCCCCAGGCUGCCCUCUUCCACCCCAGCUACUUGGAUAUGUUCUUUACCUGAGUUCUUUUUGUUUCUCAGCCAUUUCAGAAGAGGCACUGUCCUUCCAAUUUUAUUUUAUUUUUAUUUUUUGUUUAAUUUUUUAAAGACAGAGUCUCACUGUGUCGCCC